CCAGGGUGGAUCCUUCAAGUGAGUUGUGACAGUAGUGACUGCUCAAUCAAGUGUCUUCUCCAGUAGUAUUUCAUAUUCAACAACAUUUGCUCGAGACAAAGACAAAAAAGCCACGUCUACAACCUCAGUUGUGUUACAUUCAGGCUGCACAUAUUUCAAGGAGUCGAUGAAUGAGGUUCAUUACUGAAAAAAAUUCACGAUUGCCACAUUUGGAAGAACACGGAACGAUUAAAGGUAUAGGAUGUCAAGGAGACAUGGCUUGUGCCUGAAAAUAAGUGUUUGGUGUUAUGUACAGAAACCUGGGCUGGCCCUUCGGAAAUGAGGUGAAACAGGUCCAUGCUGAUGUGUCCUUGAGAACUGAGGGCCUAUAGGAGCGAGAGGGAGCCAUCAGGGCAGGCGAGAGCUUCUUGGAGUCACUGAUGCUGUUUACAGCUGGACAGCAGCUGGCGCUGUUACUGUGUUUGUCGCUUUGGGUUUUUGAGGUAACCCUCGGAGCUGCAUCCCUCAACCACGCAGACUCUAAGCCAAGCGGGGGUGAUGGCCCAGAGAGAAUGAAGAAAUGACCCAAGAUGUUGAUGGAGAUGCGGGUUUAUCGGUGGGAGCUUACGCACUGGGCAUCCAGGAGCGGCAGCUGAACAGAGCAUCCGCCACGGGGAUCUACGGGCAGCAACGCUGUGGAGCAUAGAACCCACUUCACAGCUGCGCUCCUGUAACUUCUCCCCUUCCUGCAUGGGCCGCGUUCCCAGGAGAGCAAAGCCUGCCCUCUGGAUAGUCUUCGUUGCAAAGGAGCCCCUCCAGGUUGCCCACCCCCAGAACCCCAGACCUCACUGAACGCUGAACAGCAUGUUCUUUUGCACACUCUGCCUGAUGGGAAUCCAGAAGGAGAAUGGGAUCCCUACCCUCUCAAGGUAGCGAUUGAAGGCGCAGUCAGGGUUUGCUUGCACAAACCAGCCUGUGGGCACAUACCACACGCCAGCCCAAGAUGAGCAAAGGGACCUUGGGAAAUGAGCGUGGGGAGGGGGCAAGCUUUCCAGAACAGAAUUUUCCGAACUGCUAAAAGUUACUGGAGUCUGAGAGGGUCAGGGAUUCCAUAGGGAAGAAAGGACAGGUAAAGUCAGAAGUAGGGUGGGAGGCAAUCAUCUCCACCACUCAGAAAAUCUUGUCUACAUUUUAUGCCUGGUAAUCACACCCCAUAUUUUUUGGAAAAUAAAAACAAAAA
Long non-coding RNA from Mustela lutreola (European mink), 1219 nucleotides. RefSeq lists it as uncharacterized. NCBI's taxonomy places the organism in Eukaryota, Metazoa, Chordata, Mammalia, Carnivora, Mustelidae. The record is from RefSeq and is a predicted model, not a curated record. The transcript is spliced from 3 exons.